CACGUAGGGCGCAAGCGUUGUCCGGAAUUAUUGGGCGUAAAGAGCUCGUAGGCGGACUGUCACGUCUGCUGUGAAAAGCUGGGGCUUAACCCUGGCCUUGCAGUGGAUACGGGCAGACUAGAGGUAGGUAGGGGAGAAUGGAAUUCCCGGUGUAGCGGUGAAAUGCGCAGAUAUCGGGAGGAACACCGGUGGCGAAGGCGGUUCUCUGGGCCGAUACUGACGCUGAGGAGCGAAAGCGUGGGGAGCAAACAGG
Molecule: ribosomal RNA, 253 nt
Filed under: uncultured bacterium
Lineage: Bacteria
Description: partial 16S ribosomal RNA
Rfam family: Bacterial small subunit ribosomal RNA
Source: RNAcentral